AUCAAGUGUCUUAAGGGCAUUUGGUGGAUGCCUUGGCAUGCACAGGCGAAGAAGGACGUGAUACGCUGCGAUAAGCUACGGGGAGGUGCGAAUACCCUUUGAUCCGUAGAUUUCCGAAUGGGGCAACCCACCUUAGAUUGCUGGAAAAGUUAAGCUGCUUUAGAUUAAAGCGGUUUAAUUUUCUAGCAAUCACUAAUUAAGGUAUCUGCAUCUGAAUAAAAUAGGGUGUAAGAAGCGAACGCAGGGAACUGAAACAUCUAAGUACCUGUAGGAAAGGACAUCAAUAGAGACUCCGUUAGUAGUGGCGAGCGAACGCGGACCAGGCCAGUGGCUUAAGUUAAGAAAAGUAGAAUCGAUUGGAAAGUCGAACCAAAGAGGGUGAUAGUCCCGUAUACGUAGAUCUGAUUUAAGUCCUUGAGUAAGGCGGGACACGUGAAAUCCUGU
Molecule: ribosomal RNA, 444 nt
Filed under: Bartonella clarridgeiae
Lineage: Bacteria; Pseudomonadati; Pseudomonadota; Alphaproteobacteria; Hyphomicrobiales; Bartonellaceae
Description: bacterial LSU rRNA
Rfam family: Bacterial large subunit ribosomal RNA
Source: RNAcentral